GACGAACGCUGGCGGCGUGCCUAAUACAUGCAAGUAGAACGCUGAAGGAGGAGCUUGCUUCUCUGGAUGAGUUGCGAACGGGUGAGUAACGCGUAGGUAACCUGCCUGGUAGCGGGGGAUAACUAUUGGAAACGAUAGCUAAUACCGCAUAACAGUAGAUAUCGCAUGAUAUCUACUUGAAAGGUGCAAUUGCAUCACUACCAGAUGGACCUGCGUUGUAUUAGCUAGUUGGUGAGGUAACGGCUCACCAAGGCGACGAUACAUAGCCGACCUGAGAGGGUGAGCGGCCACACUGGGACUGAGACACGGCCCAGACUCCUACGGGAGGCAGCCGUAGGGAAUCUUCGGCAAUGGACGGAAGUCUGACCGAGCAACGCCGCGUGAGUGAAGAAGGUUUUCGGAUCGUAAAGCUCUGUUGUAAGAGAAGAACGAGUGUGAGAGUGGAAAGUUCACACUGUGACGGUAUCUUACCAGAAAGGGACGGCUAACUACGUG
Molecule: ribosomal RNA, 495 nt
Filed under: uncultured bacterium
Lineage: Bacteria
Description: partial 16S ribosomal RNA
Rfam family: Bacterial small subunit ribosomal RNA
Source: RNAcentral